RNAcentral lists this ribosomal RNA (429 nucleotides) under uncultured bacterium. RNAcentral describes it as "partial 16S ribosomal RNA". It matches the Rfam family "Bacterial small subunit ribosomal RNA", at positions 355 to 776 of the family's 1533-position model. The record is from RNAcentral. RNAcentral also lists the same sequence under 1 other name.
UGGGGAAUAUUGCACAAUGGGCGCAAGCCUGAUGCAGCCAUGCCGCGUGUAUGAAGAAGGCCUUCGGGUUGUAAAGUACUUUCAGCGGGGAGGAAGGCGAUGCGGUUAAUAACCGCGUCGAUUGACGUUACCCGCAGAAGAAGCACCGGCUAACUCCGUGCCAGCAGCCGCGGUAAUACGGAGGGUGCAAGCGUUAAUCGGAAUUACUGGGCGUAAAGCGCACGCAGGCGGUCUGUUAAGUCAGAUGUGAAAUCCCCGGGCUUAACCUGGGAACUGCAUUUGAAACUGGCAGGCUUGAGUCUUGUAGAGGGGGGUAGAAUUCCAGGUGUAGCGGUGAAAUGCGUAGAGAUCUGGAGGAAUACCGGUGGCGAAGGCGGCCCCCUGGACAAAGACUGACGCUCAGGUGCGAAAGCGUGGGGAGCAAACAGG